This 228-nucleotide ribosomal RNA is filed under the name uncultured bacterium. Its description in RNAcentral is "partial 16S ribosomal RNA". It matches the Rfam family "Bacterial small subunit ribosomal RNA", at positions 28 to 253 of the family's 1533-position model. The record is from RNAcentral.
GACGAACGCUGGCGGCGUGCUUAACACAUGCAAGUCGAGCGGUAAGGCCCUUUCGGGGUACGACGAGCGGCGAACGGGUGAGUAACACGUGGGUGACCUGCCCUCAGCUCUGGGAGUAAAGCCUGGGAAACCGGGGUACUAAUACUGGAUAUGACUCCAUGACGCAUGUUGUGGGGUGGAAAGCCUUGUGCGGCUGAGGAUGGGCCCGCGGCCUAUCAGCUUGUUGGG